AUUUCCGGUGUCCUCGCUCACUGAGCUUCUCGCGACUCGAUGACGUCACUGUUAGUUUUCGGUAUAAACGGGUCCGGUGUCCUCCGGUAAUGAGCCGCUCUCAGGCCUCUGGGACGGAGCUAACGGCAGAUACCGGACCGUAACCGGGAGAGCAGCUCCUGUCAGUGAACGUUACCGGUAUGCUGAGGUAACGGGGUUAGGGUUGGGACCUGUUGCCGGUUACCGGAGACACAGAGACGAUGAGCGGAGCUACCGGACUGUUGGUGCUGCUGCUGCUCAGCCACCGGGCUGCGUUCACGGCCAGCAGGUCCCUGAACGCACCGCAGGAUGGACCGACAGGUGUGGACAGGCAGCGUCGCCCCCUGCUGGAGACGACUCGUCCCUUCAUCUUGGUGGACGGACAGAGGAGGAGCCUGACUGAAGCCCUGCAGGAUGGACACCCGGACCGGCUGCAGUGUGGUCUGGAGGUGGGAGGACGUCUGUUCCUGUUGGACCUGGAGAAGAACCACGACCUGCUGCCCAAACCGCCCAACGUCUUCUACUAUCUGCCCAACGGCACCGGAGUGUCUGUGACGGCCCACCCUGUGACUCACUGUUAUUACCACGGCAGCGUUCGAGGGUUCCCUCAGUCCAGAGUGGCAGUCAGCACCUGCUCCGGACUCCGCGGAGUCAUCACUAUCAACUCCACGCUGAGCUUCGAGCUGCAGCCGCAGGAGGAUGAGCCGCCCCCCCACCAGGAGGAGGAGGAGGAGGGCGAGGGGGGGGCAGGAAGUGGAGGGAGCGGAGGAGGAGGAGGAGGAGGAGGAAGAAUCCACCUGCUGUACUCCAGCAGCUCCCUGGAGAGUAACGGAGGGGGGGACUGUGGGGUCUCUCACAGCAGCAUCCCCCCCCUCCACAGCUCCACACACACACACAGGAGGAGGCGGGACAUCCUGUCUGAGAGGAAGUACAUUGAGCUGGUUCUGGUGGUCGAUCAUCAGGAGUUUCUGAACUACCAGAAGAACAACAGGAACAAUGAGACCAUCAUCUACCGCAUGCUGGAUGUGGCCAAUCAGGUGGACUGGUUCUACCGGCCGCUGAACGUGCGCGUGGCGCUGACCGGUUUGGAGAUCUGGAGCGACCGCGAUAAGAUCCUGGUGGAGAAGAGUCCGACCGAGACCCUCAACAACUUCCUGCGCUGGAGGAGCCGCGAGCUGCUGCCCCGCCUUCGCCAUGACAACGCCCAGCUCGUCAUGGGGGGGGCGUUCGAUGGCACCACGGUGGGCAUGGCCUCACAGUCCUCCAUGUGCUCCAGAGACCGCUCAGGGGGGGUCAACGUGGAUCACCUGGUCAGCGUUCUGGGCGUGGCUUCCACCGUCGCUCACGAGCUCGGUCACAACCUCGGGAUGACCCACGACACCGCCGAGCGCCGCUGCUCCUGCCAGAACCACCCGCGGCUCGGAGGCUGCAUCAUGGAGCCCUCAACCGGGUUGUUGCCGGGGCAACAGUUCAGCAGCUGCAGUCAGGACGACCUGUCUGUCAGCCUGCUGAUGGGGGGGGGCAUGUGUCUGUUCAACGUGCCCCAACCGGACCAGCUGCUGGGGGGGCCGCGCUGCGGGAACCUGUACGUGGAGAAAGGAGAGCAGUGUGACUGUGGACUGCUGCAGGACUGUGAUGACCCGUGCUGUAACGCCUCCACCUGUCAACUGGUUCCUGGAGCUCAGUGUUCAUCUGACGGCAUCUGUUGCCAUGACUGCAAGCUGCGGACCGCGGGCUCUAUGUGUCGUGAGCCAAUCGGAGAGUGCGACCUCCCUGAGUUCUGCACCGGCUCCUCCCCCCACUGCCCCCCCAACGUGUUCCUGCAGAACGGCGAGCCCUGCGAGCACAGCGCCUCCUACUGCUACAGCGGCGUCUGCGCCAGCAUGCGCACACAGUGCCAGAUGCUGUGGGGGCCCAAUGCUACGAGCGCUCCGGCUGUUUGUUUUUCAUCUGUCAACAAAAAAGGAAACAAAUAUGGAAACUGUGGUCAGCUGACCAACGGCUCCUACAUCCCCUGUGCAAGCUCGGAUGUGUACUGUGGGAGGAUCCAGUGCCAGGGCGGCAGAGAGCGCCCCCUGCUGGGCACCAACGCAGAGAUCCUGACGACCACGGUCCGCUUUAACCUCAGCGACCUCGUCUGCAGAGGAAGCUUCUUCCACCUCGGAGACGACGUGUCCGACCCGGCUACUGUAGCCCAGGGUACCGCCUGCAGCCCGGGCAGGGCCUGUUUGAACCAGAAGUGUGAGGACGUCUCGGUGUUCGGUGUGGACGAAUGUCGCAGGAAAUGCAACGGACACGGAGUGUGUAACAGUAACAAACAGUGCCACUGUGAGGUGGGCUGGGCUCCUCCUGACUGCAGGUAUUCAGGUCUCGGCGGCAGCGUGGACAGCGGCCCGGCCCGAGCUGCUGGGGAGUCGGAUCCGGUCCGAGUCGCCCUGCUGGUGAUUUUCCUCUUCAUCCUUCCUGUGGUCCUCCUCUUCCUCGUCCUUCGGUUCCCUCGGUUCCGUGUCUGCGUCGGCGCUGCCGGGCCGAUCGGAAAAACACGACAAAACAACCGCAGGACCCUGGCGAUGGAGGAGCAGGUGCGCCCGCUCAGUAUCAGCUGACCCAGCCCGACAUCCCGCUGACCCCCCCCAACAAACAGCUUCUGGUGAUUCGACCAGCUCCGCCCACCAAGCCACUCCCCCCUGACCCUGCCUCACAUGCACAGGGUCCGGCGGUGCCCAGAAAGCCUCGCCCCCCGCCCUGCCGACCCACCCCCAUGUCCCGGCCCCACCGCCCCACCCCCACUUCCCCCCUCAGCCCCCCUACACCAGCAACACCAAACCACCGCAGCACGCCGCCGUCGCACCUGCCGCCAAAACCAACAGACGACCUCCUCGACCUGCCAUCCCUUAAAGAGCCGG
Molecule: RNA transcript, 2924 nt
Organism: Scomber scombrus (Atlantic mackerel)
Lineage: Eukaryota; Metazoa; Chordata; Actinopteri; Scombriformes; Scombridae
Gene: adam15
Gene name: ADAM metallopeptidase domain 15
Exons: 23
Source: RefSeq, a predicted model, not a curated record